ACGGGCCAGAAGCCCGAUCCGUCCCACCCCCUGUCUCCUGCCUCUGUUGCCUCGGCGGACGGGUGCGCUCGUUCGUCGAAGGCCCCCCCUAACAACGCUGUAAUGGUGGGGUUCUGAGUGUCGAUUUUAAUAGCACUAAAACUUUCAACAACGGAUCUCUUGGCUCUGGCGUCAAUGAAGAACGCAGCGAAACGCGAUAGGUAAUCUGAAUUGCAGAAUUCAGCGAAUGAUCGAAUCUUUGAACGCACAUGGCGCCCUCUGGUAUCCCGGGGGGCACGCCUGUACGAGCGUCAUCACACCCCUCAAGCCUCGCUUGGUAUUGGGCCCCGCCGCGUCGUCGGCGGGCCUUAAACGUGCUGGCGGCGUCGUGGGCCCCCGAAGCGCACAUGGUCUCGAACCGCGCGCGAGGACGGCCGCGGCGCCCGCCACGGUGAACCCUCCACCCUCGUAUCGACCUCGGAUCAGGCGGGGAUACCCGCUGAACUUAAGCAUAUCAAUAA
This 500-nucleotide small RNA is filed under the name Kirschsteiniothelia aethiops. RNAcentral describes it as "eukaryotic LSU rRNA". The stretch from base 140 to 293 matches the Rfam family "5.8S ribosomal RNA". The record is from RNAcentral. Lineage: Eukaryota; Fungi; Ascomycota; Dothideomycetes; Kirschsteiniotheliales; Kirschsteiniotheliaceae.